GACGAACGCUGGCGGCGUGCCUAAUACAUGCAAGUCGAGCGAAGUUUUUCUGGUGCUUGCACUAGAAAAACUUAGCGGCGAACGGGUGAGUAACACGUAAAGAACCUGCCUCAUAGACUGGGACAACUAUUGGAAACGAUAGCUAAUACCGGAUAACAGUAUUUCUCGCAUGAGAGAUAUUUAAAAGUUGGUUAUGCUAACACUAUGAGAUGGCUUUGCGGUGCAUUAGCUAGUUGGUGGGGUAAAGGCCCACCAAGGCGACGAUGCAUAGCCGACCUGAGAGGGUGAUCGGCCACACUGGGACUGAGACCCGGCCCAGACUCCUACGGGAGGCAGCAGUAGGGAAUCUUCCGCAAUGGGCGAAAGCCUGACGGAGCAACGCCGCGUGAGUGAAGAAGGAUUUCGGUUCGUAAAGCUCUGCUGUUAGGGAAGAAUGGAUAUGUAGUAACUAUACAUGUAAGAGACGGUACCUAACCAGAAAGCCACGGCUAACUACGUG
RNAcentral lists this ribosomal RNA (499 nucleotides) under uncultured bacterium. RNAcentral describes it as "partial 16S ribosomal RNA". It matches the Rfam family "Bacterial small subunit ribosomal RNA", at positions 28 to 507 of the family's 1533-position model. The record is from RNAcentral.